Long non-coding RNA from Cyprinus carpio carpio, 3649 nucleotides. The record is from Ensembl. NCBI's taxonomy places the organism in Eukaryota, Metazoa, Chordata, Actinopteri, Cypriniformes, Cyprinidae.
CCAGAUUCCACGAAGAAGAAGAAGAAGAAGAAGAAGAAGAAGAAGAAGAAGAAGAAGAAGAAGAAGAAGAAGAAGAAGAAAACGAGGGAAAAUAAGCAGGAAAAGGUAAACAAGGAGGAAAAGGAAGCGUGGAAAAAUAACUUGACCAAGCUGAAAAUGAAUCACCUUGACCCCGAAGAUGCCAUAUUCCUGGUUGAUGCGUUCCUGGAUGAGUGCAAGGUGGAUCAGCAUGGACAAACUAAAGGAGGGUCAAAACAAUCCACAAAGCUGUGUGUUUGGCUUGAUGAGGACAAAGAUGGUCAUCCUCUGCCAAAAAGAUGUAGAGCUGGAGAGAAACGAAAGCGAGAUUCAGCUACUGUUUCUUCAGCAAGCGUUAAAAGCGUGUCCUGUGCUCCGUCUACCAGCACAACUGAAGACACUGUGAUCAUCGAAAAUUUUGACUCCCUCAUUCAAGAUGUCCGAGACCUCUUGGGAAGUGGUGCUGAACAACCUUUCCCCUCAGACUGGAGGAACAGGCAAACUACCUCUCUGGAGAAUUGGACAGUAAUGAGGCCCUUCAUGGUGAACAAUAUGUUGUCAUCUGAGAAGCCCAAGGAGGGGGUUUGCCAUCACUGUGGACACAAGGCUGCAGUAGUGAUGUGUAGGGACUGUUUACCGCGAUCACUCUACUGCACAGCCUGUGACCUUUCCACACAUGAGGCCCUGGUGCUUCAUAACAGAGCAUCCAUGGUGGAGGGGUUCUUCAGACACCUGCCGCCAUCCACUUUUGUUCAGCAGCACGAGGGAGGGAAAUUCUCCUAUCAUGAAAAAGAUUGCAUGUUACCAAUCGUUCCUCCCUGCUGCGACUGCUCCACUGGGCAAACAAGCUUUUCCAAGGGAAAGCCAGUUAUUUUAAUUGGAAUGAAUGGAAGAUACAACCUCUUCCUUCCAUCAGUAAACUGCUCCUGUGGAAAAACCUUGCCAGUGACCAUAAGUGAUCUGGUUGAAAGUGGUUACUGGCCAGCCACUGUCAAUUUUGAGACCUUGUACUUGGUGGACUUGUUCACCACGUAUGAGGAUCUAAAAAUCACUGCCCCAGGGAUGUCGAGACAAGCUUUUGUCAGCAUGCUCGAGUGUCGAACAAAACUCUUCGGGCGAAGUGGUAAGAUUUGUGGGGACACAAUGCAGAGGGCCUUCCUCGAAUGGGCCUAUGCCAAAUUUGAGGUUGACAAGCUGUCUCAGGUCCAGCAUUUUCAGUGCCCUGCAUGCACACCCUCCAUGUUGGCAGUUGCAGUGGAUGGGAACCGGAAAUUAUAUCGUUUCAAAAGCCAACCAGGGCCUGAUGGGUUUUUUGAUGGAGUCUUUUUGGCCAAUGAUGCUGAGGUGUCCUCCUUUGUUGAUUACAUCCAUGGAACAACUGGACAUAAUCCAGGGAAAGGGAGAUGUGGUGCGGGUCAGUGGACCGCAGCACGAGAGUCUGCCAGCAAGUCUGGAAGCAAACUAGACGAGGAAGGUGUUGAAGUUGCUGUCUGCCGUCAUGGGGUUUUGCUGAAGGGACUGAAUAUGUUCCGUGGAGAAAUAUUUGCAUACCCAUUAUAUCUCCAGAAACAGCUAGCUUCACAGACCGUCCAGUUUUUUUGCUCUGAUGUGGUCUGCAAAUAUUGGCCAUAUCUGCAGAAAGUUGUGGACCACUGUCCAGAGUUGGAGGACUUGCUGAACAUGCGCCCAUUUCUCUCCAUCAUGCAUGCAAAAGCGCAUUCAUGGAUGUGUGAGUUAAAAUGGGGGGGACGCAAUCAAGAAGGAGCUGGAACAACAAUCGGGGAGGAGGUUGAACAGGUUAACAGCUUCCUCUCUCGAGCAGCCAUAUGUUCCAAGUACAUGUCAAAAGCCGACUGUACAAAGGAUUGCAGAGGCAACAAAGGACCUGGAGAAACUCACAGCUGAGUUAUCUCUACAGCAAGACACAGUCCAGCAGUGGGUGUCUGAUGUUCAGCAGUGGACCUCAGGAGCAACAAUCCAAAAUGACCUGCAGAGGACCAUCGAGGGGCUAUAUUUGGGCAUCAAACAGCGAAAAUUUCAGCUGUAUCGUCAGUCUGGUGAGAGCAGAAAAGGCCGCUAGUAAUGCAGAUUUGUGAAAAAAUGAAUUCACUACUGAUUUAUACAUAGUAAAAAUAGCAAAGCCUUUUAUUAAAAAAAAAAAAAAAAACAUCUUUUGAAGUAGGUUUACUACAAGUCAGGGCAGCAUACUGAAAAACUGUCAAAAUCAUAAUAAGGUUAAGUGCAAUAUCCAAAUAUUUCCAAUAUUUCUGCAUAGUGCAGAGAUGUCCUGACCUACCAAAAUAGAUUCUGAAAAAAAUGUCCCAAGUUUUUUCACAAUUUUUCAAAUGAUUAUGAAACUUGUGAUGCAAAAAUGAUCACACAACAUCUGUCACAAUAAUCAUAAAACAUACACACAUAUUGUGAAGUCUUAUUUUGUAUGGUGCUUUUGUGUAGUGAUCGUGUGAAUGUACACUCAUUUUUUGUUUCUCAUUGUAGGUGGGAACAAGCGAAGGCAUCAACUGAGAAGAAAGAUUGCUGUUGAGAAGAAAGCCUUGGAAGUUGCCAUCAAUGACCACAAUGCUACUGUGGGGGAAGUUGAAAAACUGCCUCCUCCGAAUGAACUCCUGGCUGUGGACAACUACUCCUGGCCAUGGGAAUGUCAUGGUGAUAUGGAGCGGAAAAAAAAUGUUUUUGACAAGGUAAUGCUGCUGGCUAGACUGAAAGAAGAAGAAUUUAUUGUGGUUCGCGAAGUCAAGCAGCACAUGGAGUACAUGAGGAGUGUUGCUGGACUGAUUGAAGAGUUUACCUUUCAGCUCACUGAAGACACCAGUGGGAAAUGCAGUACAGAGGGCUUAAUGGAGAAAGGACGUGAGGGACUACUCUGUGUGCUGAAGAGAAGAUUGCGUGAAGUUGAAGCACAACUGGCUAAAGCACGCACAACUUACAAAAGUAUUCUUGGACUGCAAACAUUGCCCUUAGAUGACUUUUCUGAAGAGGAAGACUCAGAGAAUACUUCCUCAACUGAUGAGGAACUGGGAGAGUAGUUAUUAGGGAGAUGAUGUGUUUACAUUGUGUUGAACCCAAACGUCAGUGCUGUAAUAACUUGUAUGUGAAACCUGAGGUUAUUUUACUGCUGUUGUAAGAUUUCUUUGUGUUUAGAGCAUGUACUGCAAAUUCCUCUGAAACUGUAAAAACCCAUUAUGUUAGCCCAUUAGUCCCCACCCUCUGCCCCAACCCAAUCACUGGUGAUUCACAACUGUCAGACAUUACAAAUUACCUUGGUUUUUUUAGCAUUACAUAUUUGGUCAAAAUGUAUUGCGCAUCCCUACAUAGCUUCACUAUAUUUUGUAUAUAUUGUACCUACUGUAGUUUACAUAGCCUAUUGUAUUGUUACUCUCUCCAACAGUGUGCUAUUCCAGCUUAUGUUUCCACGUUAGUAUAUCAAUACUCACUCACUCUCACACACUCACUCACUUACACACACAUACAUACAUACACCCACUCUCACACACACUCUCACUCUCUCGUUCACACACGCGCACACACACACACACCCCUACCUAUCUAAAUAUAUAUAGUCUUUAUUUGGUACAGGGCAUAGUCUCUUAGCUCUAGAAAGCCUACUUUUUUC